RNAcentral lists this ribosomal RNA (433 nucleotides) under uncultured bacterium. Its description in RNAcentral is "partial 16S ribosomal RNA". It matches the Rfam family "Bacterial small subunit ribosomal RNA", at positions 29 to 507 of the family's 1533-position model. The record is from RNAcentral.
AACGAACGCUGGCGGCAUGCCUAACACAUGCAAGUCGAACGAUGCUUUCGGGCAUAGUGGCGCACGGGUGCGUAACGCGUGGGAAGCUGCCCGUGGGCUCGGAAUAACAGUGAGAAAUUGCUGCUAAUACCGGAUGACGUAUUCGGACCAAAGAUUUAUCGCCCAGGGAUGAGCCCGCGUAGGAUUAGCUAGUUGGUGGGGUAAUGGCCUACCAAGGCGACGAUCCUUAGCUGGUCUGAGAGGAUGAGCAGCCACACUGGGACUGAGACACGGCCCAGACUCCUACGCGAGGCAGCAGUGGGUAAUAUUGGACAAUCGGCUCAAGCCUGAUCCAGCAAUGCCGCGUGAGUGAUGAAGGCCUUAGGGUUGUAAAGCUCUUUUACCCGGGAUGAUAAUGACAGUACCGGGAGAAUAAGCUCCGGCUAACUCCGUG